CAAAAUUCAAAUUAUAACUGUUUCCUAACGUUUUUUCCUGACAGCAUUUCAGUUCUUAUAGUGUAUUUCUUCGAGGUUGCGAGUCUUGUUCUCGUCAGCCAUUUCUACGAAACCACACGAUGGAGAAACUCGUCUAAAACCAGGAUCCACACGAGGCUGUUGUGCAGGUCGGGGUCAACGGACUCCAUGUCGUCCAGGGUGAUGGGUUUACCCAGCAGCUGUUUGUAGAAGGGCAGAGUGAAGCCUCCGUCUAUGUAGUGGCCGUGGAACACAGCCAUCCCCAUGAUACGGCCCACGAAGUGAAAGUAUGACAAGUGCUCCUGAGAGGGAGACAAAACAUGAGAGACAGCGAUCUCCUCGCGGGACACCUCGAUGCGGCAGUGUCCGGCCUGAGGCUGCUGCUGGGACAGCUCCUGGCGGAGGAUCUUGAGCUUCUGAACAAGGUCCCUCUUGUACUUGGGCACCGUGAGGCACUCGGCCUCCUCUGGGAGCUGACUGGGGGACACCA
This is a long non-coding RNA of Sebastes umbrosus (honeycomb rockfish), 508 nucleotides long. RefSeq lists it as uncharacterized. NCBI's taxonomy places the organism in Eukaryota, Metazoa, Chordata, Actinopteri, Perciformes, Sebastidae. The transcript is spliced from 3 exons. The record is from RefSeq and is a predicted model, not a curated record.